This 474-nucleotide ribosomal RNA is filed under the name uncultured bacterium. Its description in RNAcentral is "bacterial SSU rRNA". It matches the Rfam family "Bacterial small subunit ribosomal RNA", at positions 28 to 502 of the family's 1533-position model. The record is from RNAcentral.
GAUGAACGCUAGCGGCAGGCCUAAUACAUGCAAGUCGAACGGUAGAUUACUUUCGGGUAAUUGAGAGUGGCGCACGGGUGCGUAACGCGUAUGCAACCUACCCUAUACAGGGGGAUAGCCCGGAGAAAUCUGGAUUAAUACCCCAUGGUACCAAGUUGAGGCAUUUUGAUUUGGUUAAAGAUUCAUCGGUAUAGGAUGGGCAUGCGUCUGAUUAGCUAGUUGGCGGUGUAACGGACCACCAAGGCGACGAUCAGUAGGGGUUCUGAGAGGAAGGUCCCCCACACUGGCACUGAGAUACGGGCCAGACUCCUNACGGGAGGCAGCAGUAGGGAAUAUUGGGCAAUGGACGAGAGUCUGACCCAGCCAUGCCGCGUGCAGGAAGACGGCGUUCUGCGUUGUAAACUGCUUUUAUCUGGGAAGAAAAGGCCCAUGCGUGGGACAUUGCCGGUACCAGAUGAAUAAGCACCGCUAACU